ACAGUGCUGUGUUUAGUCAUUCCUCCCAAUGCCAGUGAUCCCUUAAAUCUGGGUGUUGUCCAUCAUCAUCCCUGCCCGUCUCCGUGCAUCCACAACUGCCACAUCCUGAGAGCUCAGUCCAUCAGAAAUGCAAUUAUAGCCUUUUACCUCCUCCUCACCAGAUACUCUCUACAGGGCAAGUUCAUCAAACUGUGUGCUUAGAAGCUCUGGAGCAGAACUCUCACCCACCAGAAGAUUGCCUCAAGAGAUAAAAGAUGAUUUACAACCCAAAGUAUGCCCACUAGAGGUUUUGGCCAUUUUUACAAUGUAUUCCUGCCCAUGAAGAUGCCAACUUGACUGCCCAAUACAUAAAGCACCAAAGCAGAAUCUGUUUGGAACAAAGACUCGCAGAGAAGCAUACCUCUAGAUCAACCAAACG
Molecule: long non-coding RNA, 418 nt
Filed under: Homo sapiens (human)
Lineage: Eukaryota; Metazoa; Chordata; Mammalia; Primates; Hominidae
Description: HSALNT0218750
Source: RNAcentral